GGAGCUUAAAUUUUAUUCAUAAUUUUAAACAAGCAAAUGAACACAAUGCAUCUGAGAACUAUGGAUAAUUCCAUCAUCACUAUGAGCAAAUGAAGCAACCUUUAAAUAAAUAUAGCUCCAAAGCUCGAAAGAAGAAGAGAACAAAGACUGAUCAAAUUAGAGCCUAUAGUAAAUAAUCUAGGCAAAUCCGAAAAUAAAAAAAGGUCAGGAACUGAUUCUAGCUAGACUCAUAAGGCAUCAACAAGCAAAUAUUGAAAUAACCCUUGUGAAUUCAAAUGCAUCGUUAACCAAAUCAUAAGCCUACUGGAAGGAUAAUUAGACAUACAAGUAUAUAAGGAACUAAUAUUUCAAUCUUCGCACUAUGAGAUUAACUAAACCCAAAACAACAACAAAGAUGCAUAGUUACAGGAUUAGCUAAAAACUGAAGUAAGA
RNAcentral lists this long non-coding RNA (432 nucleotides) under Solanum tuberosum (potato). RNAcentral's name for it is "long non-coding RNA (STUB_LNC011229)". The record is from RNAcentral. Lineage: Eukaryota; Viridiplantae; Streptophyta; Magnoliopsida; Solanales; Solanaceae.